Molecule: ribosomal RNA, 402 nt
Filed under: uncultured bacterium
Lineage: Bacteria
Description: bacterial SSU rRNA
Rfam family: Bacterial small subunit ribosomal RNA
Source: RNAcentral
UGGGGAAUCUUGCACAAUGGGGGAAACCCCGAUGCAGCGACGCCGCGUGAACGAUGAAGCCCUUCGGGGUGUAAAGUUCUUUCGACAGGAACGAUAAUGACGGUACCUGGAGAAGAAGCUGCGGCUAACUACGUGCCAGCAGCCGCGGUAAUACGUAGGCAGCGAGCGUUGUUCGGAGUUACUGGGCGUAAAGAGUGCGUAGGCGGCGAGCCAAGUUUGGUGUGAAAUCUCCCGGCUUAACCGGGAGGGUGCGCCGAAAACUGGUUGGCUGGAGUAUGGGAGAGGAAAGCGGAAUUCCUGGUGUAGCGGUGAAAUGCGUAGAUAUCAGGAGGAACACCUGCGGUGUAGACAGCUUUCUGGACCAAAACUGACGCUGAGGCACGAAAGCGUGGGUAGCAAACA